GGGACAUGGGGACAGAGCUGCCCUCCUGACCUGAAAGCCAUGGCUCAUCCUAGAACCCAUGGCCCUUGACACAAUCCUUUCUACCAAAAGAGGCCACAGUCUCCCCAUGGCAACCCAAGCUGGAGAUCAGUUUCAGGCUGGACCGAGCCCAGGGAAGCUGCCCCGCGGCCUCCAGCUCCAAAAGGGUAGGGACUCUGCCUGCUAAGGGUGAGGCUGGCGGCAAAGGAGAGAGGAGGCUGGAAAGGAGAGACACGGAGACAAUCCCUCCACCAGGCUGUCCUCACAGGAGCACCUGAUGUGCCCAGGAAGUAGCAGGACCAACAGCGACAGAGCACCGAAAAAUCGAUGCUUUUGAACUGUGGUGUUGGAGAAGACUCUUGAGAGUCCCUUGGACUGCAAGGAGAUACAACCAGUCCAUCUUGAAGGAGAUCAGUCCUGGGUGUUCAUUGGAAGGACUGAUGCUGAAGUUGAAACUCCAGUACUUUGGCCACCUGAUGUGAAGAGUUGACUCAUUGGAAAAGACCCUGAUACUGGGAGGGAUUUGGGGCAGGAGGAGAAGGGGACGACAGAGGAUGAGAUGGCUGGAUGGCGUCACCGACUUGAUGGGCAUGAGUUUGAGUAAACUCCGGGAGUUUGUGGUGGACAGGGAGGCCUGGCGUGCUGCGAUUCAUGGGGUCGCAAAGAGUCGGACACAACUGAGCAACUGAACUGAACUGAACACACUGCAAUAAAGGAAUAAUGACAAUAUCGGACAGUGCUCAGUGGGCUGGGCUAUGACAGGUGUGUUCCAUCACGUUAUUUCCUUUCAUCCUCAGUGCAAGGAUAAUGCUGGCACUACUGUUGUGAUCGCCAUCCCCAUUUUACAGAUAUAGAAACUGAGACUUAGAGACUGUGUGUGUCCAGAAUCAUCCAGUUGGUAAGCUGUGGAGCCUGCUUCUUGAGAGAAAAGCUAUGACAGACCUAGACAGCUCAUUAAAAAGCAGAGACAUUACUUUGCCUACAAAGGUCCAUGUAGUCAAAGGUAUGGUUUUUCCAGUAGCCAUGUAUGGAUAUGAGAGUUGGACCAUAAAAAAGGCUGAACACAAAGAAGAAUUGUUGCUUUCAAAUUGUGGCACUGGAGAAGACUCUUGAGAGUCUCUUGAACAGCAAGGAGAUCAAAUCAGUCAACCCUAAAGGAAAUCAACCCUGAUAUUCAUUGGAAGGACUGAUGCUGAAGCUGAAGCUCUAAUACUUUGGCUGCCUGAUGUGAAGAACUGACUCAUUGCAAAAGACCCUGAUGCUGGGAAAGAUUGAGGGCAGGAGGCGAAGGGGAUGACAGAGGAUGAGAUGGUUGGAUGGCAUCAUCAACAGAGUGGGCAUGAGUUUGAGCAAACUUUGGGAGAUAAUGAAGGACAGGGAAGCCUGGCGCGCUGCAGUCCAUGGGGUCGCAAAGAGUCAGAUACUACUGAGUGACUAAACAACAACACAGUAGCUAGAAGUUGAGAAUUAAAGAUGAAAACCUAUCUUUGGUUUUGGAAUAAAUGAUAGCCCACUCA
Molecule: long non-coding RNA, 1535 nt
Organism: Dama dama (fallow deer)
Lineage: Eukaryota; Metazoa; Chordata; Mammalia; Artiodactyla; Cervidae
Exons: 2
Source: RefSeq, a predicted model, not a curated record